CUGAUUCAACAUUAAGAAAACACAUAUACUCAAAUUUUAAUGAUGCAGAGAAUAUUAGCAUGGCCCCUGCAUGAGGAUGACAUGCAAAUUCAUGGAGUGUUUCAUAUUUUU
Molecule: small nuclear RNA, 111 nt
Filed under: Ictidomys tridecemlineatus (thirteen-lined ground squirrel)
Lineage: Eukaryota; Metazoa; Chordata; Mammalia; Rodentia; Sciuridae
Source: RNAcentral